CGAAGGGCAAGCGUUAUCCAAAUGAUUGGGCGUAAAGGGUUUGUAGGCGGUAUUUAUCGCUAAUUGUAAAUAAUGAGAUCUUAUCUUAUUGCUGCAAUUAGUACAUUAAUACUUGAGUAUAAUUGAGGAUAACAGAAUUCUAUAGGGAAGAGUAAAAUCUGUAAAUCUAUGGAGGAAUGCCGGAAGCGAAAGCGGUUAUCUGGGUUAAUACUGACGCUGAGAAACGAAGCGUGGGGAGCGAACAGGAUU
RNAcentral lists this ribosomal RNA (249 nucleotides) under uncultured bacterium. Its description in RNAcentral is "partial 16S ribosomal RNA". It matches the Rfam family "Bacterial small subunit ribosomal RNA", at positions 528 to 779 of the family's 1533-position model. The record is from RNAcentral.